RNAcentral lists this unclassified non-coding RNA (1949 nucleotides) under Agrilus planipennis (emerald ash borer). RNAcentral describes it as "trypsin 3A1, transcript variant X2". Lineage: Eukaryota; Metazoa; Arthropoda; Insecta; Coleoptera; Buprestidae. The record is from RNAcentral.
UGAAAUAAUCGCCUACUCUAUAUAUCGAUAACGAUCAAACAAUAAUGCACCAAAUUUUGAUAUUUAUUCGAGUUAUAUAAUUACUUGUUUUGCAAAAGCAGUUUUUCCUUCGUUUUGUCAGUUUUUAUUCGUUAUUAUCACUACUUAACGUGAAUCAUAUGUUCCGGCAAUUUAUUGUAAAAAUGGUGAACGUCAGAGCAUGCCAAACAUGUUAAAAUGCAUGUCUUUCUUAUCAGAAGCAUGAAAAGUGGUAAAUGCUAGUUAGUACACUGUGUAGUUAGACAUCAGCUAUGAUUACUGUUUUUAUUCUGUUUUGCAGUGUACCUCUCGUAUUGGAUGCAGCACGGGUAACUGAAAAUAGAAUCGUAGGAGGCUUUCCAACUCUCAUCCACGCUCAUCCGUACCAACUUACGUUCCUCUUUCAAAAAAACUUUAUUUGUGGAGCAGUACUAAUAACAAAGGACGCCGCUCUGACCGCAGCCCAUUGCGUGAGGCUUACUAGUCCUGACCCAGCAGAUUUUUCUGUAAGGGCAGGAAGUUCUUUUUCUUGGUUUGGAGGCAUCGAGAUGGAUGUCGACAAGGUCAUCCCUCACCCAAAGUUUGCCACAUUUGAUUAUGACAUAGCGGUCAUAAAAUUAGUAGAGGCCCUGCCGCUGUCAAGCAGGAUUCAACCGAUAUCAAUUUCCAAAGUUGGCGGAGAAAGUUUGGCUGGAAAAAUGGUGAAGGUUUCUGGUUGGGGCGUCACUAUACCAUUCAUACCUCAAUCGACUUCCCUCAUAUUGCAAGAAACCACGUUGAGCAUUGUUAAAAAGAGUGUUUGCAAACAGACAACCGGGUACGAAUUUCUCACUGACAGAAUGAUUUGUGCUAAAGGGGUUGGUCCCUUUUCAGAUUCAUGUCAGAUAACCCCAUAAAAAGAAGUCGCAGACAGUAAGGUCGGGAGACCGAGGGGGCCAAGCGAUAUCCCCGUUUCGAGAAACGACACGCCCUGGGAACAAUGCAUUCACCGCAUUCAUUGAAAUUCUUGCAGUGUGGCUUGUUGCACCGUCUUGUUGAAAAAGUGUGUUUUCAUUAACUGGAAAGCGGUGAAGUUGAGCCUCAUCCUCAAAAAAAUACGGACCGAUGAUUCCAUUUGCCGACAUUGCACACCAUACUGUCACUUUCUGAGCAUGAAGAGGUGUUUUAUGAAGCAAACGAGGGUUCCCUUCCGCCCAGUACCUGAAAUUUUGUUUGUUAACAAAACCGGAGAGGUGAAAGUGUGCCUCAUCACUCAUCCACAAGUUGUUAACUUGGUCACCGUUUUCUACCAACCUGGCAUGCAUCACUUCACAAAAUCUGAGACGCUGUUGAUAAUCACUUAACUUCUUAACAUUGCUUGUCGAACACGUUCGAUAUUUUCAGGGGUUCGAAUCGUUCUGGCACUACCACCUCUUUUUCUAGAGGUCGAUCCAGUUUGCUCGAGGUUGUUUACCCAUAUUUUAAUCGAAUUGUCUGACGGAACAGGUUGGUAACGUGGUAUGUUAAAAUGCCGUCGAAAAUCCCGACGCGUUUGCACUAAACUAUCGCCAUUUUGAUAAUAAGCCUUAAUUGCGUAACCGCGAUGCUCACGCGUCCAACGCUCCAUUGCAGACUAAAUGGCAAGCCACUCGGGUUCCGGCAGGCCUGUGACUGUCUUCCCUACGACUUCAAAGCGCGCUGCAAGCCCCACCCCAAAUCUUCCCGUUUCAUUGCCGAACCCUGUAUAUGCAACCAACUACACGCCCGAAUAGAGAUAUUUAGACCAUUCUCUUUUUUUCCAAUUGUUACCCUCCAAUUCGAAUUCUCAUCAAACGAUAACAUCCUAAAUCCCAGUGUAGGCUACGACGGUAUUUAAAUGUUGUAAUGGUCAGCAGGUUAGCCCCUGCUCCCAAUGUACGUACUUAAAUUAUGUGGUAAUACGAAUGAAUUAA